Molecule: ribosomal RNA, 465 nt
Filed under: uncultured bacterium
Lineage: Bacteria
Also listed under: 1 other name
Description: bacterial SSU rRNA
Rfam family: Bacterial small subunit ribosomal RNA
Source: RNAcentral
GGAGGAAAGUAGGGGAUCGCAAGACCUUGCGCUUUUUGAGCGGCCGAUGCCUGAUUAGCUAGUUGGUAAGGUAAUGGCUUACCAAGGCAACGAUCAGUAGCUGGUCUGAGAGGACGACCAGCCACACUGGGACUGAGACACGGCCCAGACUCCUACGGGAGGCAGCAGUGGGGAAUUUUGGACAAUGGGCGAAAGCCUGAUCCAGCCAUGCCGCGUGAGUGAAGAAGGCCUUCGGGUUGUAAAGCUCUUUCGGUCGGGAAGAAAUAGUUGUGGCUAAUAUCCACAAUGAAUGACGGUACCGACAUAAGAAGCACCGGCUAACUACGUGCCAGCAGCCGCGGUAAUACGUAGGGUGCAAGCGUUAAUCGGAAUUAUUGGGCGUAAAGGGUGCGCAGGCGGUUGUAUAAGUCAGAUGUGAAAUCCCUGGGCUUAACCUAGGAAUUGCGUUUGAAACUACAAAGCUAG